RNAcentral lists this ribosomal RNA (420 nucleotides) under uncultured candidate division CAB-I bacterium. Its description in RNAcentral is "bacterial SSU rRNA". It matches the Rfam family "Bacterial small subunit ribosomal RNA", at positions 9 to 442 of the family's 1533-position model. The record is from RNAcentral.
GAGUUUGAUCAUGGCUCAGGAUGAACGCACAAGACGUGCCUAACACAUGCAAAUCGAAUGAAAAGAAUUAAUUAUUGUUUUCAUGGUGAACGGGUGAGUAACACAUAAGAAUCAGCUUUUAGAUAAGGCAUAAAAGAGUAAUAUCUUGGUAAUUCCUUAUAUGCGCAGCAGUGCUUAAAAAGGGGAGUCCCGUCUAAAAACGAGCUUAUGCCUGAUUAGCUAGUUGGCGAGUUAAAAGCUCACCAAGGCGAAGAUCAGUAGCUGGCCUGAGAGGGCGGCCAGCCACAUUGGGACUGAGACACGGCCCAAACUCCUACGGGAGGCAGCAGUGGGGAAUCUUCUGCAAUGGGCGCAAGCCUGACAGAGCGGCGUCGUGUGAAGGAAGAAGGCCUGAAAUAGGUUGUAAACUUCUUUUACUGA